Molecule: ribosomal RNA, 427 nt
Filed under: uncultured beta proteobacterium
Lineage: Bacteria; Pseudomonadati; Pseudomonadota; Betaproteobacteria
Description: bacterial SSU rRNA
Rfam family: Bacterial small subunit ribosomal RNA
Source: RNAcentral
UGGGGAAUUUUGGACAAUGGGCGAAAGCCUGAUCCAGCCAUGCCGCGUGAGUGAAGAAGGCCUUCGGGUUGUAAAGCUCUUUUAGUCGGAAAGAAAGAGUUGCAAUGAAUAAUUGUGAUUUAUGACGGUACCGACAGAAAAAGCACCGGCUAACUACGUGCCAGCAGCCGCGGUAAUACGUAGGGUGCGAGCGUUAAUCGGAAUUACUGGGCGUAAAGGGUGCGCAGGCGGUCUUGCAAGUCAGAUGCGAAAGCCCCGGGCUUAACCUGGGAAUUGCGUUUGAAACUACAAGACUAGAGUGCAGCAGAGGGGAGUGGAAUUCCAUGUGUAGCAGUGAAAUGCGUAGAGAUGUGGAAGAACACCGAUGGCGAAGGCAGCUCCCUGGGUUGACACUGACGCUCAUGCACGAAAGCGUGGGGAGCAAACA